AAAUUGAAGAGUUUGAUCAUGGCUCAGAUUGAACGCUGGCGGCAGGCCUAACACAUGCAAGUCGAGCGGAAACGGCAGUAUUGAAGCUUCGGUGGAUUUACUGGACGUCGAGCGGCGGACGGGUGAGUAACGGCUGGGAACCUGCCCUGACGAGGGGGAUAACCGUUGGAAACGACGGCUAAUACCGCAUAAUGUCUUAGUUCAUUACGAGCUGGGACCAAAGGUGGCCUCUACAUGUAAGCUAUCGCGUUGGGAUGGGCCCAGUUAGGAUUAGCUAGUUGGUAAGGUAAUGGCUUACCAAGGCAACGAUCUUUAGCUGGUUUGAGAGGAUGAUCAGCCACACUGGGACUGAGACACGGCCCAGACUCCUACGGGAG
This 377-nucleotide ribosomal RNA is filed under the name Candidatus Regiella insecticola. RNAcentral's name for it is "bacterial SSU rRNA". It matches the Rfam family "Bacterial small subunit ribosomal RNA", at positions 1 to 347 of the family's 1533-position model. Lineage: Bacteria; Pseudomonadati; Pseudomonadota; Gammaproteobacteria; Enterobacterales; Enterobacteriaceae. The record is from RNAcentral.